UACGUAGGUGGCAAGCGUUAUCCGGAAUCAUUGGGUUUAAAGGGUCCGUAGGCGGUUUAAUAAGUCAGUGGUGAAAGCCCAUCGCUCAACGGUGGAACGGCCAUUGAUACUGUUAAACUUGAAUUAUUAGGAAGUAACUAGAAUAUGUAGUGUAGCGGUGAAAUGCUUAGAGAUUACAUGGAAUACCAAUUGCGAAGGCAGGUUACUACUAAUGGAUUGACGCUGAUGGACGAAAGCGUGGGUAGCGAACAGG
This 253-nucleotide ribosomal RNA is filed under the name uncultured bacterium. Its description in RNAcentral is "partial 16S ribosomal RNA". It matches the Rfam family "Bacterial small subunit ribosomal RNA", at positions 524 to 776 of the family's 1533-position model. The record is from RNAcentral.